Molecule: ribosomal RNA, 120 nt
Filed under: Candidatus Pelearchaeum maunauluense
Lineage: Archaea; Thermoproteati; Nitrososphaerota; Candidatus Caldarchaeales; Candidatus Calditenuaceae
Source: RNAcentral
CUCGCCGGUCAUAGGGCGGGGGGAAACGCCCAGACCCAUCCGAACCUGGAAGCUAAGCCCCUGCCCGCGCGGUUUUUAGUGAGGUGGGAGACCCCUCGCGAAGACCGCGUGCCGGCGAGC